Molecule: unclassified non-coding RNA, 217 nt
Filed under: plant metagenome
Description: partial contains small subunit ribosomal RNA, internal transcribed spacer 1, and 5.8S ribosomal RNA
Source: RNAcentral
UCUCCGUAGGUGAACCUGCGGAGGGAUCAUUACAAGUGACCCCGGUCUAACCACCGGGAUGUCCAUAACCCUUUGUUGUCCGACUCUGUUGCCUCCGGGGCGACCCUGCCUUCGGGCGGGGGCUCCGGGUGGACACUUCAAACUCUUGCGUAACUUUGCAGUCUGAGUAAACUUAGUUAAUAAAUUAAAACUUUUAACAACGGAUCUCUUGGUUCUG